Non-coding RNA from Candidatus Woesebacteria bacterium, 1944 nucleotides. Lineage: Bacteria; Candidatus Woeseibacteriota. The record is from Rfam.
UCGCAAGUUUUUACAAACGCAGACAGUGGAUGCCUUGGUAUGACCAACCGAAGAAGGACGUACAUAGCCACGAAAGUCGUCGGGGAGCUGCUUAAGAAGCUUUGAUCCGGCGGUGUCCGAAUGGGGAAACCCACCAAUUUAUUGGUACCUAUAUCCCAAAUUUUUGCCUUUUGGCAAAAUACUAAGAUUUAGGCGGGAACCCGGAGAACUGAAACAUCUCAGUAUCCGGAGGAAGAGAAAACAAUGUGAUUACCUCAGUAGCGGUGAGCGAAAGGGUAAGAGCCUAAACCCCAUAUAGCUUCGCAAGAAGCUUUGUGGGGGGUUGCGGGACUCCAAUGUGGGAUUUUGUUUGAUAGUGGAAUGGCAUGGAAUUGCCAACCAAAGAAAGUGAAAGUCUUGUACACGAAAUCAAAUAAAGCCCUAGGAGUUUCCCAAGUACCACGGAGUAUAGCCUCUGUGGGAAUCUAGGGGAACCAUCCUCUAAGGCUAAAUAUUAGGUCGUAACCGAUAGUGAACUAGUACCGUGAGGGAAAGGCGAAAAGAAGGGUGAGACACCCAGUGAAAUAGAACCUGAAACUUUCUGCGGACAAACCGAGAGAGCCGUGCUUGCACGGUGAUCUCGUGCCUAUUGAAGAAUGAACCGGCGAGUUGCCGUCCACAUCUAGUCUGACCGCAUUUUGCGGGAAGGCGCAGGGAAACCGAGUCCUAAUAGGGCGAAAUAAGGUGUGUGUGGCAGACCCGAAACCAGGCGAGCUAACCGUGAGCAGGGUGAGCCCCAUCGAAAGAUGGGGGGAAGCCCGAACCCGUUGUCGUUGCAAUGACAUGGGAUGACUUACGGUUAGAGGUAAAAUGCCAACCGAGCCUGGAGAUAGCUGGUUCUCCCCGAAAGGUCUAUAGGGACCGUGGUCGUUUUGUUUCUCAGGGGUAGAGCACUGGAUGGGCAGGGGAGGGUAACCAACCUUGUCUAACCAAACUCCGAAUACUGAGAAUUAUGACGGCUAGACAGUCACAUCGGGCUAAGCUGAUGUGGCGAGAGGGAAACAUCCCAGAUUCUCGUCUAAGGCCUCUAAAUCUAUCUUAAGUUUGAAAGGAAGUUCUCUUUCUCAGACAGCCAGGAGGUUGGCUCAGAAGCAGCCACCCUUUAAAGAAAGCGUAACAGCUCACUGGUCGACGAGAGGGGGCGCCUAAGAUUUAUCGAGGAUUAAAGAUAGUGCCGAAGACAGAAAUGCGGAGCAAUCCGCGUGGUAGGGGAGCGUCCCGUAUGCAGUGAAGGUGAACCGUGAGGUUUGCUGGAGCGUGCGGGAGUGAGUAUGCCGGUAUGAGUAGCGCACAAGAGGAGUGAGAAUCUCCUCCACCGAACACCCAAGGAUUCCGUCGCGAGGUUCGUCCUCGACGGGUUAAUCGGUACCUAAGGCGAGGCCACAAAUGGCGUAGCCGAAUGGACAAGCAGUUAAAAUUCUGCUAUUUAUUUUGGAUCGUUAUUAGCUGGGGGAUGACUUGUCAGGAUAGCUAGGGCCAGCAAAUGAUGUCUGGUGCAAUCUGUUAAAUAGUAUCAGCUGGGAAAUCCGCUGAAACGAUUAAUUGAGCAGUUAUGCAAACUCCACUGAGAAGUGGGGAAUUCUAGCAAAUUCAGACAACGAGAAAAGUCUCGCAGUCAGAGCCAAAAUAAGCCGUACCACAAACCGACACAGGUGGGUUGGGCGAGUAGCCUAAGGUGAGCGAGAGAAGAAUGUUCCAGGAAUUCGGCAAAAAAUCUACCCGUAACUUAGGGAGAUGGGUUGCCCACCGCAAGGUGGGUUGCAACUAAAGAUUACUAGUCGACUGUUUAUCAAAAACACAGGUCCCUGCGAAGCUGAAAGGCACGGUAUAGGGGCCGACGCCUGCCCAGUGCUGGUAAGUUAAGCGGAUGGGUGAUCGCCGCAAGGUGAUUGCCUUGAAGUUAAG